This 721-nucleotide ribosomal RNA is filed under the name Rhizophydium elyense. RNAcentral describes it as "partial large subunit ribosomal RNA". It matches the Rfam family "Eukaryotic large subunit ribosomal RNA", at positions 149 to 875 of the family's 3401-position model. The record is from RNAcentral. Lineage: Eukaryota; Fungi; Chytridiomycota; Chytridiomycetes; Rhizophydiales; Rhizophydiaceae.
UUUAGAGAAACGUUUUCGGGGCCGGCAGCCAGUACAAGUUCUUUGGAACAAGGCAUCACAGAGGGUGAAAAUCCCGUCUUUGACUGGCUGCUUGGUUCCAUGUGAUACGUUUUCCAAGAGUCGGUUUGUUUGGGAAUGCAGACCAAAAUGGGUGGUAAAUACCAUCUAAAGCUAAAUAUUGGCGAGAGACCGAUAGCGAACAAGUACCGUGAGGGAAAGAUGAAAAGAACUUUGAAAAGAGAGUUAAACAGUGCGUGAAAUUGUCAAAAGGGAAACGUUUAAAACCAGUAUUGCGGGCAGAAACUCAGGUUCCAUUUAUGGUGCUGUAUUUUUCUGUCGGCGAGUCAACAUCAGUUUUGCUUGGAGUAAAACGCCAGGGGAAGGUAGCCUUCGGGUGUUAUAGCCUCUGGUAAUGCUCUGGGCGGGACUGAGGACUGCAGCGUUCUUUGGGUCUACCACACCAACGCUUAGGAUGUUGACGAAAUGGUUUUAAGCGACCCGUCUUGAAACACGGACCAAGGAGUCUAACAUAUAUGCGAGUAUUUGGGUGGCAAACCCUUAUGCGUAAUGAAAGUGAAAAGGUGGGAUCCUUUGCUGGUGCACCAUCGACCGCGCCAGAUUAUUGCUAUCUCGGCGUGAGUAUGAGCAUACAUGUUGGGACCCGAAAGAUGGUGAACUAUGCCUGAAUAGGGUGAAGCCAGAGGAAACUCUGGUGGAGGCU